UAGGAUUUAUUUUAUGGAUUAUUAUUAUUAUUAUUAUUAUUAUUAUUUUAGGACACACGAAGGUGUAUUCACUUGUAAAACUAGUGUCACAUAUUCGCAACACGCAUAUUUAUUUAUUAAUUAUUUAGAUUUUUUUUAACAAGGUAUACUAUUUAAAGUCACGCGUGUCCAACCACCAUCACUACCCCACUUGCUACUCUUGUCGCAGUCUCAGUGUCACUGUUUUAUAUAUUAAAUGUGUACAACAUGUACUAUUACUAGUUUGUUGGGUUAUUUUAUUUAAUAAGGUUCCUUUGGCUCGGAGGCACCAGCCAAUUUUUAUAUUUUAUAAUAUUGUAUUGUAUUGUCGCUCGCUGCGACGGCACACUCGCUAAUUUGAUCUCUAUACGAUUAAUAUGACGUCAAGCGUCAGACCAAUGGUAAUUUGUAUUCGAGAAACGUUUGUUACAGCAAUCGAACGCCAGAGGUGGAUUUUAUGUGCGUCUUUUAUUCUAUCAAUGUCUACACCCCGCCAUAUUUGUCGAGCUACAGCCGGCUUACACGCCCUCUGGAGGUUUUCAUGGAAUUAUACUGCCGCUAGCGCGCGUGGUUAAAUUAAUUAUCCUCUUAUACCCAGACAAUAAAUUGACAAAUAGAGCCGAGCGUUCACAGGCUAAAAUAACAGUUAUUUAAAUAAUCACCCGAUUA
This is a long non-coding RNA of Cotesia glomerata, 687 nucleotides long. RefSeq lists it as uncharacterized. Lineage: Eukaryota; Metazoa; Arthropoda; Insecta; Hymenoptera; Braconidae. The transcript is spliced from 2 exons. The record is from RefSeq and is a predicted model, not a curated record.